UACGGGGGGGCAAGCGUUGUUCGGAAUUACUGGGCGUAAAGGGCUCGUAGGCGGCCAACUAAGUCGGAUGUGAAAUCCCCAGGCUUAACCUGGGAACUGCAUCCGAUACUGGAUGGCUUGAAUCCGGGAGAGGGAUGCAGAAUUCCAGGUGUAGCGGUGAAAUGCGUAGAUAUCUGGAGGAAUACCGGUGGCGAAGGCGGCAUCCUGGACCGGCAUUGACGCUGAGGAGCGAAAGCUAGGGGAGCAAACGGG
RNAcentral lists this ribosomal RNA (252 nucleotides) under uncultured bacterium. RNAcentral describes it as "partial 16S ribosomal RNA". It matches the Rfam family "Bacterial small subunit ribosomal RNA", at positions 524 to 776 of the family's 1533-position model. The record is from RNAcentral.